AAAGUCGUAACAAGGUCUCCGUAGGUGAACCUGCGGAGGGAUCAUUACUGAGUUUUUAACUCUCCAAACCAUGUGAACUUACCACUGUUGCCUCGGUGGUUAGUGCUCUCCUUCGGGGGGGUGCUGCCGCCGGUGGACUACUAAACUCUUGUUAAUUUAUGGCAUUCUGAAUCAUAACUAAGAAAUAAGUUAAAACUUUCAACAACGGAUCUCUUGGUUCUG
Molecule: unclassified non-coding RNA, 222 nt
Filed under: Ascomycota sp.
Lineage: Eukaryota; Fungi; Ascomycota
Description: partial contains small subunit ribosomal RNA, internal transcribed spacer 1, and 5.8S ribosomal RNA
Rfam family: Eukaryotic small subunit ribosomal RNA (bases 1-47)
Source: RNAcentral